This 473-nucleotide non-coding RNA is filed under the name Pongo abelii (Sumatran orangutan). The record is from RNAcentral. Lineage: Eukaryota; Metazoa; Chordata; Mammalia; Primates; Hominidae.
AGGGAAGUUCCCAAAGCGCCUACAGGUCAGGUGUUCCCCAGCAGGGGAGCAGCCGUGGCCCCGGGUCCCUGCAGGCUGCGCCUGACCUUUCUGGUCAGUUCCAGAGCAGGAGUUAAUUACUGCCCGAAAUGCCAUCCCCUUCCAGCUUUUUAAAUAUCAAGGACAUAUUUUAAAUGGAGGGGAAAAUAAUGUUUUUACAGCAGAACGGCUGCUAAAUAUCGGCGCUCCUCACCUCACGCUCACGAUGUGGCCGUCGGGACGCUUCUGCAGGGAGGCCUUUACCACCCAGGCUGUGUGCUCCCGACUGGAGGAUCAGGAAUGAGAAUCCCAGACCUAAAGCUGAUGAAGCUGGGGGCACAAGGACCUUCUGGGAAUCCUCGCUUUGUGCCGGGUGAAAUUUACUUCUGCUGCAUGAGCCGUGUGGGCCAAGAUGGACUGUCCCCUGCUGGGCCCGGACAGCACCUGCCCACGGG